UCCCCGCUGCGGCGCCGCGCCUCCCGCCUCCCGCCGCCUGGGGCCCCGGCCCCCCCGGACCCGGGUCCCCGAUCCCCGCCCCGACCCCGGCCAUGGCCGGCCAGGGGGACUGCUGCGUCAAGGUGGCCGUCAGGAUCCGGCCGCAGCUGCCCAAGGAGAAGAUUGAGGGAUGUCACAUCUGCACCUCCGUCACCCCGGGGGAGCCCCAGGUGCUCCUGGGGAAGGACAAGGCCUUCACCUACGACUUUGUCUUCGACCUGGACGCCUGGCAGGAGCACGUGUACGCCACCUGCGUGCGCAGGCUCAUCGAGGGCUGCUUCGAGGGCUACAAUGCCACGGUGCUGGCCUACGGGCAGACGGGGGCCGGGAAGACGUACACCAUGGGCACCGGCUUCGACACGGCGGCGACGGAGGAGGAGCAGGGCAUCAUCCCCAGGGCCAUCGCGCACCUCUUUGGGGGCAUCGCCGAGCGCAAGCGGCGGGCACAGGAGCAGGGCGUGGCCGGGCCCGAGUUCAAAGUCAGCGCCCAGUUCCUGGAGCUCUACAACGAGGAGAUCCUGGACCUCUUCGACGCCACCCGGGACCCUGACGCCCGUCACCGCCGGUCCAACAUCAAGAUCCAUGAGGACGCCAACGGCGGCAUCUACACCACGGGCGUCACGUCCCGCCUCAUCAGCUCCCAGGAGGAGCUGAUCCAGUGCCUGAGGCAGGGCGCCCUGUCGCGCACCACGGCCAGCACCCAGAUGAACGUGCAGAGCUCCCGUUCCCACGCCAUCUUCACCAUCCACCUGUGCCAGAUGCGCGUCUGCACCCAGCCCGACCCGGUGCACGAGGGGGUGACCGGGCUUCCUGAGGGCGCGGCGCCCCCCAGGGAGUACGAGACCCUCACGGCCAAGUUUCACUUCGUGGACCUGGCGGGCUCCGAGCGGCUGAAGCGGACGGGGGCCACGGGCGAGCGGGCAAAGGAGGGCAUCUCCAUCAACUGCGGCCUGUUGGCCUUGGGCAAUGUGAUCAGCGCCCUGGGGGACCAGAGCAAGAAGGUGGUGCACGUGCCCUACAGGGACUCCAAGCUCACGCGGCUCCUGCAGGACUCGCUGGGGGGCAACAGCCAGACCAUCAUGAUCGCCUGCGUGAGCCCCUCCGACCGGGACUUCAUGGAGACACUCAACACCCUCAAAUACGCCAACCGGGCCCGGAACAUCAAGAACAAGGUGGUGGUGAACCAGGACAAGACCAGCCAGCAGAUCAGCGCGCUGCGGGCCGAGAUCGCGCGGCUGCAGAUGGAGCUCAUGGAGUACAAGGCGGGCAAGAGGGUGAUCGGGGAGGACGGCAGCGAGGGCUACAGCGACCUGUUCCGGGAGAACGCAAUGCUGCAGAAGGAGAACGGCGCCCUGCGCCUGCGGGUGAAGGCCAUGCAGGACGCCAUCGACGCCAUCAACAGCCGCGUCACCCACCUCAUGAGCCAGGAGGCCAACCUGCUGCUGGCCAAGGCCGGUGAUGGCAACGAGGCCAUCGGUGCUCUGAUCCAGACCUACAUCCGGGAGAUUGAGGAGCUGCGGACAAAGCUGCUGGAGAGCGAGGCCAUGAACGAGUCCCUGCGUCGCAGCCUCUCCCGGGCCUCGGCGCGGGGCCCCUACUCCCUGGGGGCUUCCCCGGCCGCCCCGGGGCUGGGGGGCAGCCCGGCCAGCGCCAUGGAGGAGGCCUCGGAGGUGAUCCGCAGGGCCAAGCAGGACCUGGAGCGGCUCAAGAAGAAGGAGGUCCGGCAGCGGAGGAAGAGCCCGGAGAAGGAGGCCUUCAAAAAGAGGGCGAAGCUCCAACAGGAAAACAGCGAGGAGACGGAUGAGAAUGAGGACAACGAGGUGGAGGAGGAGGAGGAAGAUCCGGAUGAGAGUGGCUGCGAGGAGGAGGAGGGGCGCGAGGACGAGGACGAGGACUCGGGCAGCGAGGAGAGCCUGGUGGACUCCGACUCGGACCCCGAGGCGAAGGAGGUGAACUUCCAGGCCGAUCUGGCCGACCUGACGUGCGAGAUCGAGAUCAAGCAGAAGCUGAUCGACGAGCUGGAGAACAGCCAGCGGCGGCUGCAGACGCUCAAGCACCAGUACGAGGAGAAGCUGAUUCUGCUGCAGAACAAGAUCCGCGACACGCAGCUGGAGCGCGACCGCGUGCUGCAGAACCUCAGCACCAUGGAGUGCUACACGGAGGAGAAGGCCAACAAGAUCAAGGCGGACUACGAGAAGCGGCUGCGGGAGAUGCACCGGGACCUGCAGAAGCUGCAGGCUGCCCAGAAGGAGCACGCGCGGCUGCUCAAGAACCAGUCGCGCUACGAGCGGGAGCUGAAGAAGCUGCAGGCCGAGGUGGCGGAGAUGAAGAAGGCCAAGGUGGCCCUGAUGAAGCAGAUGCGGGAGGAGCAGCAGCGGCGGCGGCUGGUGGAGACCAAGAGGAACCGGGAGAUCGCGCAGCUCAAGAAGGAGCAGCGGCGACAGGAGUUUCAGAUCCGAGCUCUGGAGUCCCAGAAGCGACAGCAGGAACUGGUGCUGCGGAGGAAGACCCAGGAGGUGUCUGCGCUGAGGCGCCUGGCCAAGCCCAUGUCCGAGAGGGUGGCGGGGCGCGUGGUGCCGAAGCCGCCCAUGCUGGACUCGGGCGCCGAGGUGUCCGCCAGCACCACCUCGUCGGAGGCCGAGUCGGGGGCCCGCUCCGUGUCCACCAUCGUGCGCCAGUGGAACCGGAAGAUCAACCACUUCGUGGGGGACCAGUCCGCUGUCCACGGCACCCGGCCUGCCAGGAAGAAGUUCCAGAAGAAGGGCGCCGGCCAGAGCUUCAGCAAGGCCGCGCGGCUCAAGUGGCAGUCGCUGGAGCGCAGGGUCAUCGACAUCGUCAUGCAGAGGAUGACCCUUGUCAACCUGGAGGCCGACAUGGAGCGGCUCAUCAAGAAAAGGGAGGAGCUGUUCCUCCUGCAGGAGGCGCUGCGGCGGAAGCGGGAGCGGCUGCAGGCGGAGAGCCCCGAGGAGAAGGGGCUGCAGGAGCUGGCGGAGGAGAUGGAGGCGCUGGCGGCCAACAUCGACUACAUCAACGACAGCAUCUCCGACUGCCAGGCCACCAUCGUGCAGCUGGAGGAGACCAAGGAGGAGCUGGACUCCACGGACACGUCGGUGGUCAUCAGCUCCUGCUCCCUGGCCGAAGCCCGCCUCCUGCUGGACAACUUCCUCAAGGCGUCCAUCGACAAGGGGCUGCAGGUGGCCCAGAAGGAGGCCCAGAUCCGGCUGCUGGAGGGGCGGCUGAGGCAGACCGACCUCGCGGGCUCCUCCCAGAACCACCUGCUCCUGGACGCCCUGCGGGAGAAGGCGGAGGCGCACCCCGAGCUGCAGGCCCUCAUCUACAACGUGCAGCAAGAGAACGGCUACGCCAGCACCGAUGAGGAGGUGUCGGAGUUCUCCGAGGGCAGCUUCUCCCAGUCGUUCACCAUGAAAGGUUCCAGCAGCCACGACGACUUCAAGUUCAAGGGCGAGCCCAAGCUGUCGGCCCAGAUAAAGGCGGCGUCGGCCGAGUGCCUGGGGCCCCCGCUGGACAGCUCCACCAAGAACAUCACCAAGUCCCUGGCCUCGCUGGUGGAGAUCACGGAGGACGGGGUGGGCUUCUCCGUGCGCGACCCCUACCCCCGCGACAAGGUCUCGCGCACCGUCAGCCUGCCCACCAGAGGCAGCACCUUCCCCCGGCAGUCCCGAGCCACCGACACGUCCCCUCUGACCCGGAGGAAGUCGUACGACCGCGGGCAGCCCGUCAGGUCCACAGACGUGGGAUUCACGCCCCCCUCGUCCCCGCCCACACGGCCACGCAACGAUCGCAACGUCUUCUCGCGUCUGACCAGCAAUCAGAGCCAGGGCUCCGCGCUGGACAAGUCUGAUGACAGCGACUCCUCUAUGUCCGAGGUCCUGAGGGGGAUCAUCACUCCGGUCGGAGCAGCCAAGGGCGGGCGGACGGCCCCGCUGCAGUGCGUCUCCAUGGCCGAGGGCCACACCAAGCCCAUCCUCUGCCUGGACGCCACGGACGAGCUGCUCUUCACCGGCUCCAAAGACCGCAGCUGCAAGAUGUGGAACCUGGUCACGGGGCAGGAGAUCGCCGCCCUGAAGGGCCACCCCAACAACGUGGUCUCCAUCAAGUACUGCAGCCACUCGGGGCUGGUCUUCUCCGUGUCCACCUCCUACAUCAAGGUGUGGGACAUCCGGGACUCGGCCAAGUGCAUCCGCACCCUCACGUCCUCAGGUCAGGUGAUCUCGGGGGACGCCUGCACAGCCACCUCCACGCGUGCCCUCACCAGCGCGCAGGGCGAGCACCAGAUCAACCAGAUCGCGCUCAGCCCCUCGGGCACCAUGCUGUACGCCGCCUCGGGCAACGCCGUCCGCAUCUGGGAGCUCAGCAGGUUCCAGCCCAUCGGCAAGCUGACCGGCCACAUCGGGCCCGUGAUGUGCCUGACGGUCACCCAGACGGCCAGCCAGCACGACCUGGUGGUGACCGGCUCCAAGGACCACUACGUGAAGAUGUUCGAGCUGGGGGAGUGCGUGGGGGGCACCAUCGGGCCCACCCACAACUUCGAGCCCCCACACUACGACGGCAUCGAGUGCCUGGCCAUCCACGGGGACGUGCUGUUCAGCGGCUCCCGGGACAACGGCAUCAAGAAGUGGGACCUGGAGCAGCAGGAGCUCAUCCAGCAAAUCCCCAACGCGCACAAGGACUGGGUGUGCGCCCUGGCCUUCGUGCCCGGCCGGCCCAUGCUGCUCAGCGCCUGCCGCGCCGGCCUCAUCAAGGUCUGGAACGUGGACAACUUCACGCCCGUCGGCGAGAUCAAGGGCCACGACAGCCCCAUCAACGCCGCCUGCACCAACAGCAAGCACAUCUUCACGGCCUCCAGUGACUGCCGGGUCAAGCUGUGGAAUUACGUCCCCGGACUCACCCCCUGCCUUCCGCGCCGGGUGCUGGCCAUAAAGGGCCGAGCCACCACCCUGCCCUGACCCCGCCUCCUCUCUCCUCCUCCCCCCUGUCUCCCCCUCUCUCCACUUCGAUCUGAGCUGCUCUCCACGUGACCUGACGGUGAAGUUCUGGAGCCUGCGGCGGUUACCCCGGGGCCCACCCUAGGGCUGAGGCCGGAGGACACCCCACGCCUCGGCCCCCACAGCCUGGAAGGCGUGGAGGGGACACCGGGGCCGAUGGGGCCAGCGGCCUGGGUGUGGACCGUGGCUGCGGCCCCUCCCUGCUCUCCUCCCCCCUCGGCCUCCCGAUGAUGGACAUGACCCCUGUCUCCCCCCACCCCCUGCCUCUUGGGGGGAGAGAGAGGUGGGGGGACAUUUAAGCUGUGACGCCCACGGGCAUUCCCCCUCUUGUUUCUCUCCUUGGCCAAGCAGCUCCCCACCCCACCCCACCCCCGUCCAAGCCUCUGGACACUGCUCCUGCCUCUGAGCCCAAACCACAGACCUCAGGUAACCACGGAAACAGGGGUGGGCGGCUGGCCCUGCCGCUGAACUCAGCCCCUUGGCGCUGCACCCGGCCGCCCCGGCGAUUCUCGGGGUCCCUCUCUGACGGCGAUUCUCGGGGUCCCUGUCUGACGGGGCCCGGGCGGGGCCGCUGCAAAGACUCCUCGGGCCGACGGGCAGCCCUCACUCCAUUAUUUAUUUUUAUUGACGCCUCCUGGACUUGAAGUUUCUUCCCUGCGGCUGUCCCUCUGCUUUUGGGGGCCAGGAACCCCACUGGGACCCACCCCACCGGCCCUCGGGGCCACCCCGUCUCUUGACUGCAGCUCAGGCUGCCACCACACUGCCCCGGGGCCACCCUGGUGACCCGACCCCCGGCCGCCUGGCGCUCCAGUGCCUUCCUCACCCGUCCGGGCCCGGCACCGCGCUGGGCACCCUGACACCAGCCUCCUGUCUUCUCACUCGGGGGAUGUCAUGCCCACGCCCCCAGAAGGCGGGGUGCCCCACCCCCAGCCCAGGGCCCCGUGGGAAGCAGCUCGGAUGCCGCCCCCCCAUCCGUGACCCCCUGGUUCCUAAGUCGUCGCUCAACCACUGAGCCACGCAGGCUGGGCAGGGAGGCAGUCUUAGCUGUGAACGGAACGCACCUGCUGAGACCUGUCCCCGCCUGUUUCCUCCUCUUCCCACCUGUUCCCACCUGUUCCCACCUGUUCCCACCUGUCCCCACCUAUUCCCACCUGUUCCCACUUGUCCCCACCUCUUCCCACCUGUCCCCACCUCUUCCCACCUGUUCCCACCUCUUCCCACCUGCUCCCACCUGUCCCCUGCUCUACUGGGGCCGCCCAGCCAAGAACAGUCCUGCCGUGCAUGGCCAGCUGGACGGGCGCAUGAACUCUCCCUCGUGCAGACAGACGCGCCCUUGCCGACCCGCAGGACCGUCUGCCUUCCACGCUGGAGACCCCUCUCCCGGCCCUCAAGGGGCAUCCCCGGCCCCCCCACCUCCACAGAGAGCUCCCCCUGUAGGAAGACUCGCAUGCAUGAUGUUCACACAGUGAUGAAGAGACUCCGAGAGAGACUGCUGUCCUCGCCGGGCGGGCGGGCGGGCGG
This is an RNA transcript of Myotis myotis, 6566 nucleotides long. It is a transcript of the gene named kinesin family member 21B, with no coding region annotated. Lineage: Eukaryota; Metazoa; Chordata; Mammalia; Chiroptera; Vespertilionidae. The transcript has 36 exons. The record is from RefSeq and is a predicted model, not a curated record.